This 830-nucleotide ribosomal RNA is filed under the name uncultured bacterium. RNAcentral describes it as "bacterial SSU rRNA". It matches the Rfam family "Bacterial small subunit ribosomal RNA", at positions 97 to 929 of the family's 1533-position model. The record is from RNAcentral.
GGCGCACGGGUGCGUAACGCGUAUGUAACCUACCCUAUACAGGGGGAUAGCCCGGAGAAAUCUGGAUUAAUACCCCAUGGCACUGCGAAUCAGCAUUGGAAUGCAGUUAAAGAUUUAUCGGUAUAGGAUGGACAUGCGUCUGAUUAGCUAGUUGGCGGUGUAACGGACCACCAAGGCGACGAUCAGUAGGGGUUCUGAGAGGAAGGUCCCCCACACUGGCACUGAGAUACGGGCCAGACUCCUACGGGAGGCAGCAGUAGGGAAUAUUGGGCAAUGGACGAGAGUCUGACCCAGCCAUGCCGCGUGCAGGAAGAAGGCGUUCUGCGUUGUAAACUGCUUUUAUCUGGGAAGAAAAGGCCCAUGCGUGGGACAUUGCCGGUACCAGAUGAAUAAGCACCGGCUAACUCCGUGCCAGCAGCCGCGGUAAUACGGAGGGUGCAAGCGUUGUCCGGAUUUAUUGGGUUUAAAGGGUGCGUAGGCGGUUGAUUAAGUCAGUGGUGAAAGUUUUGGGCUCAACCCAGAAAUUGCCAUUGAUACUGGUCGACUUGAGUAUUGCAGGGGUACAUGGAAUUGAUGGUGUAGCGGUGAAAUGCAUAGAUACCAUCAGGAACACCGAUAGCGAAGGCAUUGUACUGGGCAACCACUGACGCUGAUGCACGAAAGCAUGGGGAGCGAACAGGAUUAGAUACCCUGGUAGUCCAUGCCGUAAACGAUGAUUACUCGCUGUUAUGCUCUAGUAGUGUAGCGGCCAAGCGAAAGCGUUAAGUAAUCCACCUGGGGAGUACGCCCGCAGGGUGAAACUCAAAGGAAUUGACGGGGGUCCGCACAAG